Non-coding RNA from Pteropus vampyrus (large flying fox), 197 nucleotides. Lineage: Eukaryota; Metazoa; Chordata; Mammalia; Chiroptera; Pteropodidae. The record is from Rfam.
GGGGAGGGCGGUGUGGAAGCGGGCUUGCUGGGGCCACCCAGUGCGGGCUCGGGAAGGGAAGGAAUGUGGCUGAGGCGGGUGUGGCUGAGGGGGGGGCGCAACCGCCUGUGGGUUCUUCUUGGGGCCCAGAGAGAUGUGAGCCGAGAUGGAGGCCCCUCUCCCUCGGCCCCCGGCACGCACACUCGGACCUUUCUUCA